AAUAGAUACCCAGGUAGUCCACGCCCUAAACGAUGUCAACUAGCUAUUGGGGCCUUCGGGCCUUGGUAGCGCAGCUAACGCGUGAAGUUGACCGCCUGGGGAGUACGGUCGCAAGAUUAAAACUCAAAGGAAUUGACGGGGACCCGCACAAGCGGUGGAUGAUGUGGAUUAAUUCGAUGCAACGCGAAAAACCUUACCUACCCUUGACAUGUCUGGAAUCCCGAAGAGAUUUGGGAGUGCUCGCAAGAGAACCGGAACACAGGUGCUGCAUGGCUGUCGUCAGCUCGUGUCGUGAGAUGUUGGGUUAAGUCCCGCAACGAGCGCAACCCUUGUCAUUAGUUGCUACGAAAGGGCACUCUAAUGAGACUGCCGGUGACAAACCGGAGGAAGGUGGGGAUGACGUCAAGUCCUCAUGGCCCUUAUGGGUAGGGCUUCACACGUCAUACAAUGGUCGGGACAGAGGGUCGCCAACCCGGCGAGGGGGGAGCCAAUCCCAGAAACCCGAUCGUAGUCCGGAUCGCAGUCUGCAA
Molecule: ribosomal RNA, 530 nt
Filed under: uncultured bacterium
Lineage: Bacteria
Description: bacterial SSU rRNA
Rfam family: Bacterial small subunit ribosomal RNA
Source: RNAcentral